CAUUGCAUAACCGGUUUUUAGGCAUUGCUUGAUUGCUUGAUAGGGCAUUGCGUAACUAGUUUUUGUGGCAUUGCAUGAUUGUUCUCUAGGCAUUGCUUGGAUAUUAAUGCUUUUUUGUUUUUUUUUCUCAAAUUUAAUGCUCGUAUUAUGUAUCUAUUUUGUUACUUAAUAAGUCAUGAUUCACAUGUGAUUCAUUUAUUUUCUUUUAUGUAUGCAAAGAUAGUAAAAACUAGUUCUUGUUUUUCCGUCUUUCUUGAUCAUAUUUGCUAAAUGGAUAUGUUAUUCGCUUCAGUUACAGAUGACCAAAACAGAGUAGGAGAACUUGGAAGCUUUGCUUUGUGUUUCGAGGGACAAGUGGGGCUUCAAUGCUGGUAAUUACAUUUCAUAUGUGAGGCGUUACAAAAAAAAUGAGUUGGAGGUAGUGGAGAAAACGUUCUCCGGGAAGCUAAUGGACAUAAAAUAAAAAAAAGCUUAUUUUGCACCAAUCUAGCACACAACCUAUUGCUACACAGAAUCAAAGAACCCGGCGCCAUCGAUAGUGAGUUAUGGUUUGGCAUAGGCAAUUCCUAGAUAUGUUUCUCUAAUAAUGAGUUUUGUCUAGUCACAAAAUUGAAGUUCGACCCCAUGUUAGAUGUUAUCUCAAGUCCUUAGGAGGUGAAGCUCUAAGAUAUGUUAGAUACGAUCGAGAGAGGUUAGUUUGAUUAGGACAGAGACACAAUAAGGAUGGCCUUACUGUUGAUUGCAAAUAAUAUUUUAUUUGAUCAAGAUUAUAGAAGAUCGGUGACUUCAUGGAUGUUUUCCCUAGUUGAGAACAUCAACCAGUGGAAAGCAUUCCCAUGACGUACCUAUGUGUGGAAUCUGAACGUGGACUACAUAUCAAAGAGUUUCCAAGUUUCACCAGCGUAGACAUCUUAGAAGAAAUGCUACCACUUGUACAAAUUUGUAUCGACGCUAUAGGUUCGGUGCUAUAAGGUUUUCCAUUUUGCUCUUCACAUAAGAUUUUAUUUGGUGAUUAUAAUGUUUAUAAUUGACUUGCAAUUCUGGGUGUUGGAUGCCAUUCCUACUAUCCAAAGCUACUUUGGAUCCCUCUGACAAUCUGAAGACGUUUAUCCACGAAUCUUAGAUAGCAUUGAGAUGAGAGGCCCAUAGGUUUUCACAAGAUCAUAACAGAUUUAGAGAGUGAAGAUAAUGUGAGGAGCAAAAUGGUUUUUUUUUUUGCUGUCAUAUGUCAACUAUCUUUCAACUUAAUGGCAAUGUUUGUUUUGGUGCAAUUGCACGCAUUAUGAGCCUUGAAGCUAAUCACAAAGGAGAACUUAGAGGCAUAUUAGGUCGACAUUGAUGUCCAUCUAUCUUAGGGGCAUCAGUAAGUUCCAUUAUGGCAGUAGAGGGUUGAGUAGCAUUUGGUCUCGAACAACAGUAGAAGAUCAUCACCCACAAGGUGAAGAGAGUUACAAGAGCCAUUAAUAGAGGCGCAUUAUUGGACGAGCGUGGUGCAAUGCCCCUUCUACUACUCUUAAGGCUUUUGUUGCUCAAUCCCUACAUGAUGAUCAAAUGCACAUGACGCAGUGUCCUCAGAUAGUCAACGCAUUAAAGCAUGGGCUGAAAUGGCUGGGGACAUAGUCGAAAAAAGACUUACAGUUAAUGAAGCUAAAGAUUUAGAGGAGAUCUAGUGGGAGAUGUCGUUAAUGCAACUAAAGAUCUAGUGGGAGAUCUAGGAGUUAGAAGACCGAAUUAUACAUCGAUUUCUCGACCAUUUUGAGGUGAGUCUAUCAAUCAAUAGAAUGGUGUGCGCAACGAUAAUGGCGAUGCCCACGGGGUUAAUAGUAAUGAGCCAACUGGUAUAAAUUGGAGGACUAGUCGUAAUGAGCUAAUUGGUUCGCAUUUGCACACUGGUGGUGAUGAGCCAACGAGUUUGGAUUCACAUACGAGUGUCAAGUAGUCCUAGCCAGGCUUAUAUGUCCCUUUGGCUAAGAACACACUUCCUCUUAUGGCCCUAAAUCAUGCUCAGAGCUCACCUCCUCUUAGCCUGUACGCAGAUCCUCUUGAGGCCCACAUCUUGCUCAUAGCACACCUUCGCUUAAGGAUCCACAUCGUGCUUAGAGCACACCUUCUCCUGAGGCUCCAUGUCCACCUUUAGUUAAAGAUGUACAACUAAGCAUGGCCAACAAAAACCUGAGGAGCCUUUACAUUAAUGCCUUAUUAGUCCAAAGUGAAGAGAAGGACAUGUUGAAGGACAAAUACAAGUACUACAAGAAUAACAAGCAGGCUAGGGUUAACAUGAUGGGCAUCAAAGGGCAAGAAGGCCUUGAAUUUUUCAGGUUAUUGGAGAAACAUGAUGAGUGGAUGAGUAGCUAACACAUAGACGUAUGCAUCAGUGUCAUGUAACAUUCUACAUGCAUUGUGCCAUGAAUGGAUCCCUAACCUUCUUAUCCAUAGUUCAAGUUGAAAAAAGUGGGUAUUCUUGAACUUCUGCUUGCUCAUGUGAGGGGUGACAGUCUUUCGUGGGGGAAGCCAUCACAUGGGGUUUACUCGAUCUUGGUGUUGUGCCAUUUUAACAGCCACCGGGUUGUACUGCAUAUCAACUUGGUCGAUUGGGUUAUAACAUUGGUGGACUCCUCAUAUGGUUGUUUGGAUGCAAUUAAGUCCUCAUUGUGCAAAGAUCAGAUGCUUCCUCUAAUUACGUUGAUUUCCAUUUUAUGCCACCAGUUCGGGUACUUCUACAGAACACCUCGUAGAACAUGACCUUGGAUACGGAUAAGCUACCAAUUAAAUCAUUCAACCCUGUAGCAAAAGGACCAGGGUAGUUACAGGGACUAGGUAAUCAUUGCAAUGGAGUGGCUGAUCGAUACAUGCAACACGAUCCUGAGGAAGGACGCAAUUGAAGGGUUGAGGAAAAGAUAUACAUUAGAAAUUUUUGUUAAUAGUAUUGAGAUAGAUUGAUUGUGAAA
This is a long non-coding RNA of Theobroma umbraticum, 2948 nucleotides long. RefSeq lists it as uncharacterized. The record is from RefSeq and is a predicted model, not a curated record. NCBI's taxonomy places the organism in Eukaryota, Viridiplantae, Streptophyta, Magnoliopsida, Malvales, Malvaceae.